CCUUGACUUGUCGAAAGCGAAACGCCCCCUUUGCAUCACUUUCGGUUCACCCUUGAUCGGUGACGAACAACUCCGAAAAUGUGUGUUGGAAUUCUCAACAUGGAGUUCUUGCUUCUUGAAUGUAGCCUCCAUCAAUGAUCCUGUACCUAAAGUCUUCCUAACUUCGCAAGGGAGUGGUUAUAAGCCUUUCGGAACAUUCCUACUGUGCUCCUCUUCGGGUGGUUCUUGCAUUGAGGACGCUGAUGCCAUUUUGCAACUAUUGGUGGAAACCAGCUCUCAGUGUGUUCAAAAUCCAGUUCCGAAUUCAGGGACUCAGUUGUUUGAUUACGGAAAGAUUUUGAAUGAUCUCAAGACCAAGGCAUUGUUUAGAGAUGUCUUUGAGUUGGUUGAAGAGGAUAGAGUUCCACUUAAUGCUGGAAUUAAAACACAGUUGGCAGCAAUAUUAGGCGUUCUCAGCUCACAGGUAUCAAACUUUCAACAUGAAUAUCUGAUUUGAUGAUAGAUUUUGGGAAAUGGUUUCCGCACAAACCUGUGUAUUUCUAUCUCUUGAUUCUCCUUUGAUUUAUUUAAUCCAAAGACUAGAAAUAAACACGGGUGUGCAGGGGGAGAAUAUGAUUUUGCGGAAAUCACAUCCCAUGUUUACUUCUAGCUACUAACUUUUCUCUCAACUCCUUUUGUAAAAGUCAUUGCAGCAGCAACAACCCCACAUAAAAUUCGAGAGUCUGAUAAAAAAGAUGGUCAAUCACGAACGUAGACUAGCGAUGCAGAAGACGAAGGAUUACAGCUCCUUCUUGAAAUUGAAUGAGGUUAAAAAGUACAUGGCCAACAUGGAAUGGUACAAGAAGGAGUCCAAAGACAUGGGAAUUGGAUACUAUGACAGGUACAGAAACACGCGUUACCCGAGUGACAUUAAUGCCGAUGAGUUCAAGAAGAGGCUGUCAAUUUAUUGGCAUGACACGGUUACUGAAGCUGAGAGCAAACCACAGAAAGAAGGAGGCGCAAUGCGUAUCCGUUUUCUUUAUGGUGGAACGAAUUACAGAAGGAUGAUCGAACCGCUUCACAUUGCUGAGUACUACAGGGAAGGUGGAAAAAAUUACAAAGAGAAAAGGCCUCGACAUUUUGUUCUUUUGGAGCAAUGGUUCAAUGAGGAGGAGAAAAAGAAGAGGGAAAAGAAAGAGAGGGAAGAAAGGGAGAACCCGCAACAGCGCAGCGCAAGCAAGUCCAACCCAAAAGCGAACAGUGUGGCUUCUAGUCUGAAUGAUGAUUCUUGUUUUUGGGUGCACGUCGAGGAAGCACUUAUCUUGUGCGACGAACUAGCGAGUAAUCCACAUGCCAAGCAAAAGCUGAUCGAAUUUGAGUGUUACGUGCUGGAUACGCUCAAGAAUUUCGCAGUGACACCUGAUAUUUUCUUGCCGCAGAGCAGCUUCAUGCGAUGGUGGAACAAGUAUAAAGAGAUUGUGGGAAGUAGCUACUCCUCAGAACUCACAGAAGUCAUGAAGCGUCACACUUAUCGCAGGUAUGCCGAUGGGGUCUCAGUUCUUGCUGGUCUAUAAUCCAAGAUAAUUAAGUUUUAAGCAAUCAAUUAAAUCAGAUAAAGCAAGAUAAGUUUUGCUGUAUUCAUCACGAUCUUCAUAGAGAGAGACGUGCAGUACUUGCAGGACUUGUUGGUGCUACUACGUUUGAAUAUUUUUGUUUGUGGUUUCUUUUUGUUUUGGGCUCUAGCAUCUAGCUCUCUUGUAAGAAAAAUAAUGUGUGGGGGAGUUGUUUCAGUUAUAUUGUUGUAAUUUCCACUUCAUAAAAGUAAUGACGUUUGUUGUAUUUUGAUUUCACUAAGUUUGAGAACUACCCUAAUCAGCAUUUAUAAUAAGUUGAAAUUUACGUUUGUCGUGGUUUACGUUGUAUUACUCUUCAUAUACCUAUCAAGUACAAAAGCAGUAAAUACAUAUUUUAGCCAAGUGACUAAGUGUGGAACUGGGAUUCAAAGCUAAAGUAGAAUUACUUAUGUAUCCCAUAAUGUAUACCUUCUGAUGGCUUUUCACAUAGCACGCAACGUGUGAUUAAGGAACAAAAUGGUAUACACCUCGAGAUAGGUAAGUCCAUCAGCUAGUAAAUUAGCUUGAUGUAAUGUAGUCACGUGACGAGUAAGAACGAAGAAAUGAGUGUACAGCUUGGGACACAGUACAUAUAUAUAGUAAAACUACAUGUAUGUAUGCUUUGGGUGAGGCCGGCCAAGAGGGAUCUCCAUUUUUUUUUCAAAAAAUAGGAAUUAGUUGUGAGACUCACUCCACAUCGAGCUUCAACGGUCUGAACCGUUUAUUUAUUAAGAAGAAAUUAGGUUAUCAUCAUUCCUUUUGCUACUCCAUUAAUUAAAAUCCUAUUUUUUUUCAAUUUUUGAUCAAAGUCCUUGGGUAUUAAUAACAUCAUUAAUUAUUUCAAUAAUAAAAUAUUUUUUUAUUUCUUAAUAUAUUCAUUUAAUGUUAAAAAUGUUACAAUUAGUAUAUUUAUAUUUAUGACUAAAGUUUUUACCAUAUAUUUUUAGUUUUAGUUUGUACCCAUUUUUAAUUUGUAAUUCUUUUUUAAUUUGUACCAAUUUUCUUUUCAGUUUUAAUUUGUACCCAUAUAUUAAUUUCUUUUUGUGCCCAUAUUUUUUUAAAGUUUAUUUGUAUUUGUACCCAUAUAUUUUUUUUAUUUGUACUUUUUAUUUUGCUAAAUGUACCCAUGCUAAUUAUAUGUACCCAUUCAUGUAAAACUUUUUAAUCUUAAAAUGUACUCAUUCUUAAAUAUACCAAUUUGUUAUAUGUAAAAUGUACCUUUUUUAUAUAUAUAAAAUUUAUUCAAUUUUUUUCUAAUCUAUUUUAAACUUAUAUGGGUACAUUCUUUUUUCUUUGAUUUUAAAAUGUAUCCAUGUCAAGUUUAAUCGAAGAAAUUUACUAAUGUUAUUAAGCCUAAUAUCUUUUUUUUUUUUUAUGAUUUUGAAGAAUGUACCCAUGUUUUGAUACAAUAAAUUUUUUGGUUAAUUUUGAUGAAUGUACCCAUGUUUAUAUAUAUACACACACACAAUAGUAUAUUUAUAUUUUAAUAUUUUUAAUCCCACAAAUUAUGGUUUUUUUAUUUAAAAUCUCAUUUAUAUAAACAACUAAAAUUUCUAAUUUUUAAUUUAAAAAAUAUAGUAACAUACAUAGAAAUAAAUUAUCAUAUUAAUUUCAGGGACCUAGAUAAAAAAUUAAAAACUAAUAAGGUUUCAAUCAAAGAAUAUUCAUAAUUAAGGGCCGCAUCCAAAGUCUCCCUUUUUAAAUCUUGAUUUAUAGAUCAUUCUUGCAAAAAUUCAAGUCCGAAACCAUUUGCUAAUUUAAUUAUCACGAUAAAAUUUUAAUGUUUUAUUAGAACAAAACGUUCGUCAGCUCUUUGAACUCAAUUAGAUGCCUUAAAUAUUUUCGAUUUGGCUAAUAUUUUACAAAAUUAAUCUGGCACAUCCUGCCUCCACCAUAGCAAAAUAUUGUUCGCUUUGGGUCAUGCCCUCACGGAUUUGUUCUUGGGCUUCCACCCAAAACGCAUCAUGCUAAGAAGAGAUGAGCAUGUACAUAUAAAGCCAGGGACCAACCUUCACCCAACCGAUGUGGGAUCUUACAACCCACCCCCUUAGGGAGACCGAUAUCCUCGUCGGCACAUCCAAGCAGACGGUGAGUCUGGCUCUGAUUCCAAAUUGUCACAUCUCGCCUUCACCGUAACAAAAUAUUGUCUGCUUUGGGCCACCCUUCAUGGAUUUGUUCUUGGGCUUCCAUCCAAAACGUUUCAUGCUAGGAAGAGACGAGCAUGUACAUAUAAGGCCAAUGACCAACCUUCACCCCACCGAUAUGGGAUCUUACAUAAUCUAUGAAAUGAAACUUAAAAAAAAUACACAAUUCAAAUCUUUAAAAUUUGAUAUGGUGCCUUUCCCUUAAAAUGAGGUAGUGAUUUAGAUAGACCAUGUCAAUUUGCCAUGCCAAAUAUUAGGAAAGUAGAGUGUAGACAUGGGAAGAAAACCCAGCUUAGAUAUGGGACCCACAGGCACAUGCAGUUCUCAUCGAUCUCAAUAAUUUUCAACAAACCUUUAGAGCAAGUCCACCGGAGUGGUUUUUGCCCAGCACCCUGUCCAAAUAACAAGCUGAGGGACAGGGAAUUCACUUCAGCUCGUCGGGCUGCCUGGCACACAACCCAUGCCAGUCAACAAAUUAGCCCAUUUUUGACAGACCCAAGAGCCGGCCUAUUUGGCUGGCGCGUGGACUGCAUGCGCGCUUGGCAGCGAGUAGAAGACAAGCCGGCAGGCGCUGUUAGCCCACUUGUGCUGCAGCAACGUGGCUCGCUUAGAGCCGUUGGAUUUCCAACGGUAACAAAAAUUUAAAUUUUACUUUUAAACUGGACCUUUCGAUCACAGAUCAACGGUCCACGUUUUAUCCCCCUCCCCAAAAAAAGGGUCAAACGGUCAGAUUUAUAGCCGUUGGCCACGUGGCAGAUCAUGGGCUCUUGGAUUUGAAUAUUUUUCAAAUCCAACGGUCCAGAUUAAUUAACUACAUUAAAAUUAAUUAAAAAAAAUUAAAAAGUAUUUUUUUUCUAUAAAUACCUAACCCUCAUCUUCCACCUUACACCACAUUUCAAUAUUUUCUACACUUUCUACACUUUCUAUAAAUACCUAACCCUCAUCUUCCACCUUAGCGGAAAUCUAUUCACAAAAUAGUACGUUCGGAUAAUGACACGUGGCGUGACGAGAUUGGUUAAAAAUCCCAUCCGAAAUAAAACUAUUUUAUUUUUGUAUUCUUUUAGAAAAAAUUUAAAAAUAUUUUAAAUGGGCUGGGUGCCAGCGCAUUUUGUAGGGGUGGAGAUCGUUUGUGCCAGCGCAUUGUUUUAGGGGUGGAGAUGCAUUGGCCUAUUACUGUUCAUUGGAGUAUAUUACUGUUCACUGAAGUGGAUAAAUGGGCUGGGUGCUGGCACAAGGUCCUUAGGGGUGGACUUGCGCUUAUGUUUUGAUUCGAACAGUCUCCCACUUUCGAUUCUUCCAGUCCUACUGCAAUUGUCCUUUCGUGCUUUUUGCUCGGAGGGCAAGGAGCAAUUUUUACUCUUUACUUUAUAAGUUUAACCGCCCAUUAAAAAAAUAAUUUUUUUUUGAAAAUUAAAAUUGGUUUUCAGAAUUUUCUUUUCAAUUUUUGAUUUUCAAACGAAUCUUAUGAUGUUUAUAUGGGCAAAAUACAUUAACGUGUGCAUGAACAAAGAGGAGCACGUCGAAACCGAGAAAAAGUCUAAAUUUUUUUAUGUGGUUCAAUAUCUUAGUGAAUGAAGCGUUAGAUUUCUACCCAUGCAUUCUGGAUUUGAAAUCCUCCCAUUUUUUAAAUUAUUAUAAUAAUUUGAACAUCUCCUAAUAAUAUGGUACGAAUUUAUUGCUACCGUAAUAUUCCAAUCAAACAAAACAAUGACAUGUGUACAUUUUUCAAUACGUGACACUGACAUUGUAUAGUUAAAUUGAUCAAGGUGCUAUGUGGAAGAUGAUCAUCUCCAAAUCCAUUUUGUGGGAAUCCUAGGGAUUCUCACAUCAUAGCCAUUCAUCGUACAUCGUGCUUGUCAAUUUUCGUCGUGUACUAUUUGUGUUUAAUUUUAAAUAAAAAAAGUCAAAUGAUUUCUGACCACACACGAUGAAUGACUAAGAUAUGAGGAUCCUUAGGAUCCGGAUAGAAUCCAAAUCCGUACUACAUGACGAUAAAAUUGUUCUAUAUAAAUUGCUCUCUAAAAUUAGGUCGACAUCGUCCUUUUUUAAGUUGGAUACAACACACAAUUAGCCCUUGGAUUCGAAAAUACAAUUGGAUCGUCGUCAUUUAUACGAUUUAAUGGAACACUAGUCCAAAUUGGAGUGGGGCCCAUUUCCUUUCCAAUAAAAUAGCCACGUUGAUGUUGGACUGUUGGAUUAGCGACGUUGAUGAGCUUUUAGUGCGCUAUUUAGCUUUAACGUUGCAUAUGAUCCAUCACGUGACGAACAAUAUACGCGCCAGAUACAACGUUGUAACUUUUAACCUUUCUCCCCAUUAUCCACCUAAUUAUCUCAGCCUCCAUUUUAUGACAAUUUAAUAUCUACAAUCUUUUGCUAAUAGUUGGGGGGUUUUCUUAACUAAGAUGUUUGUGACUCUCUAAUGUAUACAAAAUUGUACAAGAUUAACCACAACCGUACAAUGAUGACUGAACUCUGAGUUCCCAAAGUGGACCACACUUAGGUGAUUCUGGAGAAAUUUAGGUGCAAUUGUCACACUGUCAAAUAAUGUUAAUCAGGUUUAAUAAUAAAAAAAUUAGUGUUGUCGAACCACAGCUAUACUGGAGGAAGAAAGUCCUCGUUAAAGGAGGGAAAAGUUGAUAUUGGUGUCACGCUCGACCUUGUCGAGGGGGAUGAAGGUGCGGUAGGUUUAAUACUCGAAUUAACCAAAGAGUGAUGUUAUCUGCACACCUUCUUUUAAGUCUCACACACUCCUUGUUAAUUUAUGUCACAUGAUCAUCUUUAAUUCAUUAGAUUCGAUGACCAAUUAUUGAGAGUUGUGUGUGAAAGAUAAAAAGAGGUUAGCAACACCCUUAACUAGAGGUGGUAAAUCAACAUGUUGGGUUGUUAAUGGUUACUCAUUAAGACUCAUUUAGUUUGAUUUCAGCUUACACCAUUAUCACCAUCACAAACCCUACCUCUAUAUUAUGAUGAUAUCAAAUUAAACGAGUCUUAACGGGUACUCAUUAACAACUAAAUGUGUUUAUCUCCACCUUUACACUUGUUGAUGCACAAAAUCGGGUCGAUCUUGGACCAACGUAAAUCCGACCGUGAAUCACAUAAACGCACAAGAACACAAAGAUAUAUCGUGGUUCACCUCAAGUUGAGGCUACGUCCACACUGGUGUUGAUUCCGUUUCACUAUGUAAAUGAAUGUUGAAUAUACAUGGAGGCUAUAGAGGCAGUGUUUACUCUCUUUGCUAUUCUGUUUGCUUUCUCGUUUCCCCUCUGUCUGUUUCCAUUUCUCUUUAAGUGAGUGUGAGGGAGCCAUUUUAUAAAAUAAGGGUUUCCUCCCAUCUUACAUGAAUCAUGGGCUAAGUAAUGAAGCCCAAAUACUGAGACCCAAUAUAUGGUACAACAUAAGUCCCCCAAGUCUUCAGUCAAGAGAGUCUUUUGGCUGGAGACUUCAAAUUCAAUCCAUGUGCAGGCUGAAAUGACUAGAUGUCGUUCAGAACUAGUACUCGACAUAAGACGGUGCUUAACAUGAAGCAAUAAUCAGCUAGAGGUAGCACACGUUGCGAGGCUGCUCGACUAGAGGCAAUGCUCGCGGCGAGGCGGUUGCUUGGCUGGAGGCGGUGCUGGUUACGAGACAGCUCAACUUGUGGCAUUCUUCAUUGCGAGUAUGCACUAAAUGUCAGUGUGUGCUCAUUAUGAGUUAACUUUCGACAUGACUCGGGUCCACUUGUCGAGUUCGCAUAUUGGGUCUAUGUGUCAAGUCCGCGGAUCAGGUCUAUAAGUCGGGUCUUUGAGUCGGGGCCAUCCGUAGGGUCUUUGAGUUGGGUCCGUAAGUCGAGGUUCGAGCUCAAAGGUGUCCAAUCUCGUAAGUGCCCGAAUGAAUGGGUGUCCAAGCACAUAGGUGUCCAAAUGAGCGAGCGUCUGAGCAAGUGGGUGUCUAAACGAGCGAGUGUCUAAGCAAGUGGGUGUCCGGUCAGACAAGAGAUCAUCGUUCGAACUAAAUCUUUGUCACCAUAAGCAUGUGGCUCAUCGAUCUAUAAGUUGAUCAGUAACAAUGUUGAUCAACGGAGUCCUGGCAAUAAAUAAUAGUAUAAGCAUGAAUGCAUAAUUAAUAAAUCAAUCACAGAGUUUGGCAAAAGUAUAAUGUCAUACUAUGCAAAUUGUGUGGUAAAUGACUUGUUUCAUAUGUGACAUAGUUAAUGACAUCACAGUAUCACUAGGCAAUGAAUAAAUAUUGCAUAAGUAAUUGCCUAAAUAUGUAGGUCAUUAGUGAAAUAUGAUAGAAAGCGUACUGAGCAUACGUGACUAUUGUAGCAUGUAAUCUUAAUAUAAUGACAAUGGGAAGACACACAAUAUAUUAUAUAAAUAUAUUUUCAUUCAAAUAAUGAGGAUAUCUAAUUUGGUCAGACCAUGCCACUAGCUAUAGUAAUUGUGGGGUGAUAAAAUAAUAAAAAUAAAGGUAUGUGGUAUAGUGGGUGUAAAGAAUAAAGAGGGUUUUAGGUGGAUUUGAUCAGUAGUCAUGUUGAAAAUAAAUAAAAUAUUUAAAUAAUGAAUUCAGUGUUCAUGAAUGAUUAAAGCUGGCAAGACUAAGGACAAGUGGUCUUGUAAUAAACAUUACAUAAUAAUAUAAAAUAUUAAUAGACAAUGACAUUGAGAAAACAUAAUGAUGGGUUUCUUUCAUGGCCGACAAUAUCAAAGGGGGAUAAUAAUAAAAUUAUUAUAAGCAAGCUUAUCUUUUUCCUGGUUUUCCCGUGGGUUUUUUUCAAUGGGAUAGUGGGUACAUGUCCUCGUGAAGAGCUACAAGGCACAUCAAAGCUUGGAGCUUGAAACCCAUUUGGGAUUUUGAGUUUGUGUAUAAGUAAAAGUGAAGCAGGAAAGCAAGAAGGUGAGCAGAAUGGUGAAGUUGGUGAACUUCGCUAUGGAUCCAACGGCUGAGAAACACUGAGGCUCUAUUUUCUCAUGCAGGUUUAGUUUGUAACAGUGAUGCUUAUGUUCUAAUUUAGCUCUCAAGAUCUGCACAGAAAAUGUAGAGAGAUAGAGAGAGAGAGAUGCGGUGGUGGCUAUGUUUCCAUCGUUGCUGCCGUGAUGGGGAGCUGGAACAGAAGACAUGGGUUUUGCAGUGAUUGUGCAGGUUUUUGGUUCUUAGGUUUCUACAGAUUCACGGUGGAGGUUGUGAGGUUUGAUGAAAAAAUGAAAGAGAACCAACAUAGCUUUUCGUGUCGUUUCCCACAGACGGCGCCAAAUGUUGAUGCACAAAAUCAGUGAGGACUGUGGUACAACAGAAAGUGUUAAGUUUGUGACCUUAGCUAGAUUGCUCCGGUCACUAGUGUGGAUAAGUAUGUAAAUGGAUAGAGACAAGGAAUCAAACUCAAGAUGUACGUGGUUCAUCCAGAUUCGCUACGUCCACGAAGUAUAUGAGUUCUCUUUAAUUGUGAAAGAUUUACACAAGUACAUAGGUUCAAGCUCUCAUUUAGUGAGUACUAGUGAAUGAUUUAGUACAAAUGACAUUAGGGAUUAUUAUGGGAGAAUGAUCUCCUUUUAUAGAAGAGAGUUUCUAGUUUUGUUCUGGCCUUGACACAUGUCAUGCUAUGAUUGGCCUUUGAUGUUGACACGUGUCGUCCUGUGAUUGGCCUCUUGGUGUUGACACGUGUUACGCUGUGAUUGGCCUCCUAGUUUGAGGGAAACUCUUCUGGGUCCUUGAUGGUAUAACGUUGACCAGUGCUUGGUAGUUUCGAGAUUGAUCAAGUAUGGUACAAACAACACUUAACCAAAUAAUGACGAAAGGUUGACAUUUCAUAUCGUCUUCUUUCAUAAGCUUGAUAGUCAUAAAAUAGAAAUAAGGAUCCUCUUCGAAUUAUCUUUGUGAGGAUCCCGAGGAUUCAUGAACUGUGUCCAUUCAUCGUACAUCGUGCAAUCAGAAAUCAUUUUAAAUUUUAUUAUUUAAAAUUGAACACAAACAGUAUUUAACAAAAACUGGCCGCAAGAUGUACGAUGAACGAACACGAUUCACAAAUUUUAGAAAUCCUCAUGAAGAGGCUUCAGAUUCAUAAAAUAUUGUAUAGAUAUGUGUUAGACCAAAAGCGAGGUAAUUACACUACACGACAAUGUGACAUUCAAAUUGAAAAAAUACUCAUUACUCUCAAGUCUAAAGAACACUUAGCUACACUCAAUCUGUAUCGUGACAUGGAUAAUGUUUUUCACACCUAUUUUUACUUUCUACAUACCUUGGUUAAGUUUUGGUCAUUGAUUUUUUUUUUCAAUUCAUAACAGAAAAUUAAGAAUGAUGGGUGAAAAGUAAAAAUAAAUAUGUGAAUAGCACUACCAUGUGACAAUCCUGAAAUUAAACUUUUCCACAUUGCAAUGCAUAAUUAGUCUUUUUAUGCAGUUAGAUAACUUUAGGGUUUACGUGUGAUUAAUUGAACUAUAACAUGAGGUGAUAAUGAAUUACUUAUCCACUUAACUCGUCAAUUAUACAACUAAUUUAAUACUUUACUUAAAUGCAAGUGACGUCUACAGUACUAGGCUCGGUCAAUGUAUGAUUGACUUUAUACAAUGUCACAGUCAUAGUGGUAUUGAAGGAAUUCGGAUCCUCACCGGAUUUUCUUUGUAAGGAGCUUGAAGAUCUGUGAAUCAUAUCCAUUCAUUGUAUAUCGUGCGGUCAUAAAUUAUUUUAAAUAUUUUUAUUUAAAAUUAAAUACAAACAGUAUCUGACAAAAACUAACUGCACAAUGUACGAUUAACGGACACGAUUUACAGAUUUCCAUUAACCUUACCGAAAUGAUCCGGAGAUGGACUCAGAUCCUCUCCGGAUCAUUUCCGUGGGGAUCCUUCUGACCUAUUAAUCUCAUCCGUUGAUACUAAUCCAACGGCCAAAUGAGUUUCGCGUCUUUUCUCUCUUUUCUCCCUUACGCUCUUCCCCUCAACCCUUCAUUCUCCCUCAAUUCGAAGCACCCGACCCGCUGCCACCAUGUUACGAACUGGAUUUGAACCAGCAUCCCAAAAUUCCCCGGAAAACUUCCAUUUAUAUUCUGAUCGUGACUAUGGUCUUCCAACCCAGCAACCCCCAACCUCCCCUGCUGCAAAUUGAAUAAAGUCCGAAUUCAAAGGACCUACAAAAAUAUCACUAAACGUACUGCAAAAAUUAAAGAUUCAGAGAUAAGAAAUACAAAAGUUAACAAGGAAUUUAAUUGGGGUGGGCUGGGGCUGAAGAAGAUUGAGAAGAUGCUGGUGUGGCGUUGGUGGGUGCUUCUAAGUGAGAGGAGAAAGAUGAAGAGUCGAGGGAAGAGAGAGAGAAAGAGGUGAAAAUAAUUUGGCCGUUGGAUUUGUCCCAACGGUUGAUAUCAAUCGGUCAAGAGGAUCCUUACGGAAAUGAUCCGGAGAGGAUCUGAGUCCUCCGGAGAUGACCAAGUUGGGUAUUGAAGGGCAGAAAAGUCGUCCUCACCCGCUCCAUAAAGUAGGGGUAUUUCCGUCAUUCCAUGUGCCUUGAUCCGAAGUUCAACCCAAAAUUUAAGUGGGCCGUCGAUUACUCCUAAGCACGAUUCCCGUGAUUGACGGUGGAUAGAGUGCCGCGUGGUUACUCCCUUCCCCACUCUGUCUACCCCCGGUAAAUCCAUCUCUUCUACGAGGGCACGAGACCUCACUCUCUAUUUCUCUCUCUCUGUCUUUCCUCCUCUGAGCUUCCAAAAUGCUCAUUUCUUCCUUCCGGCUACCGCCCGCCAGCUGAAGCAGUUGCAGAAGCAGCAGCAGCCACAGAGAGAAGCUGAGCAUGGCGGCAUUCCUCAUUGUCCUCCUCACAUCUCUCUACUAGCUCUCACCACCCUCCCCGGCGCCGAAUCCCGACUCUACACCAACUACUACCAAAAAUCGUGCUCGAGAUUCGCUCAAAUCGUCCAAGACACCGUCACAAAUAAGCAGAUCAUGAAUCCUACCACCGCCGCCGCCAUUCUCCGCCUCUUCUUCCACGACUGCCUCGCCAACGGCUGCGAGGCCUCCAUCCUCCUCUCCUCCACCCCCUUCAACAAGGCGAUGGAGAAGCUCGGCGUGUUAGGGAUUCAGACCGGAAGGCGGAGAGAGAUUAGGCACAGGUGUCGAUAUCAACCUCUCAAAGAACAGAGAAGCAGGAACUACUCGCUGUGCACCAGUUCAUAAAUUGGUCCAUCGCUGGUAUGCGUUUUAACUCUUCCCUAUUAGGUUAAUAUUUAUACUUCCAUUAUUUUCAGCAAAUGGUCUCUUGUCCCGGCUUACUUCCAUAUUUCUCGGUUUUGCUCCCACAUUUCUUGGAUUCCUGGGAUUGUAGGGAUCCCAAAAUCGUAACCGUUCAUCCUAUAUCUUCGGUUAAAUUUCGUUAAGUACUAUUUAUAUUUAAUUUUAAAUUUUAACGGUGCACUGGCCCUUGUACUCAUCUCGUGGGUACUAGUUGAAAACACACUUAUUUACUCAAGUAAGGUGAAAAGGUUGUCAAGUUCCUUUAGCGAUAUGGAGGAUAACGUCAUACUUGAUGGUAGAUACUCUCGGAUGUCUUUUGUGGCUUUAGAUGGUUUUAUUCAACGUUGCUUUCUUUGGAACGGGAAACUUUGCGAGUAUUGCAAGUUUUGGGAUUUCAUCAGUGUAUCGGUUCAUUACCGUCUUCAGUGUAAGUGAAGGUUGAACUUUCCUGGGCAUUAACGCUGCUAAGGCACACCUCUUGCGGUCUUCUGCAAUUUUUUGCCCUUUAUUCCUGCAACUGCUGAUUGCUCGUACAAAGUUCGAUUGAAAUUUAAUGAGAGUCAGAGCAAUGGGAUUUUCCAAGUGUUCCCCAAAGAUCUCACAACGUUCGAUUGAAAUUUUGGCACUCUUCUCACAUCUCUUGAUUAGUUGAUACGAUUUAACCAGUUAUCCCAUUUAGUUAUUCAUUGAUCGAUUUUGUAACUACAUUUAACCAGUACAUACUCCACUUUUGGCUGUCUGAAAUAUUUGAUUGGUCGUAGAUUAAAUGUUACUAUCUUCCAUCUCGAAACAAUAAAAGUUGGCCCUAUAUUGGGACAAAUUAUUGGCUGCGAACGACCAGACUACAUGGUUGUUUAAGAGCAUCUUUAACCGGAGUCCCAGCACUAUUUUUGAAGAAUCAUUUACGAACUUAAAGGGAAUAUACUUGUUCCCAAAAGAAAAUUAGUUCCAAUGGAGUGUCUUAUAGUAUAAUCUUUAAAUUUAGAUACUACGAAUUAAAAAAUCAUUGUUAAUUUCACAAUGAGAAACCUAAAAUAACUUUCACAACCGUUGUUUUCUCAUCAAACCAAAGAGAAAAGUAACGGGACCUGCCCCAUUGGAAGCUGCACAGUAUUUUAGAGUUCCAUCACGUGCUCACGUGCUAGGGACUUUCCCCGAAGAAAGAUGGUAAUCUACUAUAAAACCAAGAGUAAUGUUAUCUACAUACUUAUUUUACUUUUAAUACAUCCAUAUACAAUCCUUAAUUGUAAGGUAAUUUUGGCGGUCUCCGGGCAGUCCCUAUAUUAUAGGGAUUGGAGUUCCGAUCCACCGGAAGUCACCAAGUUCUUAACUUUAAGGAUAUAUGGUGGUAAGAACAAGUAUAGGAACAAACAUUGAAGAUGCUCUAAUUGCACGCACAAAACACCCAUUCUUGCCGAUGGUCCCACCCUGCGCCCCUUGCGCGCGUGCGAGCUUCCGAACUCAAGGAUUGCCCCUUGUAAUUGUAAAAGCAAAGAAUAGAAAAAGACGACCAUAUUGUACUGCUGGUAGGUGAACUGGGAAAGAAACAGAACGGUCGACGGCCAUACCCGAGCCCUCAGAUUCACUAGUUAGAUUACUUUGUAAAUUUCUUUGCAUCCUUCCGGAACGUUCAGUCGUUAAAAUCAGCAAUGUAUUAACCUGCUCCAAAUAUUCAUUGCAGGGAGCAAGAGGGAAUAAAUAAUGCAAGUGGGAAUAAUUAACCUGAAUUUUAACACGUAAACGUACAAAAGAAGACAAGGAAAAGCUUCGAGGUCUAGGGCCCUCCCUUUUUCUCCGAGAAACUUUCAGGAAUAAGUUGCGUGGACGACGACCUAGACUUUGCUGUGCAUCGUCGACUUGGGGGGAAGCUUCGUCGUGCGGCCUUUUGAUUGGUGAGACAAAGACGUCCAUAAUAUUUAAUAACGAUAGGAUUGAUUCGUAUUCUAUAUAAAGAGAGAUAUAUUGACCAUUCCGGUAUCCUCUUCUCUCCAUCUACUGUGUGUUUUAAGCAGAUCGGCAAAAGCUUGAAGAUGAACGACCGGUAAGUCAACUUCGACUUCAAACUUCUCCGAUCCUUGUUUUUCUUUGAAUCCUUUGCCAUGAUUUUUCUUGUGUUGUCUUGAUUGAGCGGAAAAUGGUCUGGAAUGGCUAAAAGUGUGUUUUUCAACUAUCAAAAGUUCUUAUGGUUGAAUCUGGCAAAAAAAACUUGCAAAACGCUUUUAGAUAGACGGUAUAAGCUCUUUUCGGAGAAGCAUGUGCUAUGUCCGCCCUCUACAAGCACUUCUAUAUUUUCAAGUGCUUUUUCGAAUAGCACUUGAGUAUUUAAUAAACAUUUCUAUAUGUUCAUAGUAAAAGAUAAGUGCUUAUGAGUAAAGUGAAUCUUACGAAAUACAUUAGCUUAAUAAUCGUCCUUAUAGUUUACCAAAUUGCAAUUUCAUUCUUACAAGUAUUUUGCUAAAGUGGCUUCGUUAGAAAUAGGUAGUAUUAUCUACGCAUUUAUUUUUACUUGUCAUACACGAGAGAGGAUCCUCGCCGGAUCCUCUUUGUGAGGAUUACGGGAAUCCUUCAAUCACAUCCGUUCAUCGUACAUCAUGCGGUCAGUUUUUGUUAGACGCAAAAGUUUCAACAGAAGUUUCAAGCAUGUUUGUUAUUAUAGUUGGAUGCUAUUUGCUUACACCCUCGAUUUAACUUUGCUUCAAUUUUUUGUUGGUGAUGACAGAAUUAGCAGUGCUGGGCUUGAACUAGCAAAUGUGCUGGUGACUUCUCCUCCCCUGCAGCAGUCAUGGGACGCGGUUCUUGAUCAGAUGCAAAAGCUCCCCCCAGCAGCUGAUCCGAACCAAAAAAUGGCCUUAGACAUUAAUGAAACCAAGCACUCAAACACCGCCAUCAUAUCUUUUCUUACUUCACCCGUCACGCUUCACGAUCAACAAACGAUGGUUUCAUCGUUGACUCUCAAGAAUGCAGAUUUUUCUCUCUUUGAGUUUUUGUGCGGCAAAAACAUCCCAAGUUUCUCCGUCAAUGAAUUGGCAAUCAAUUUCUUCAAAUUGAACCUGAAAAACCUCGAUAUUUGGCGAAAAAAGGUGCGUAUUAUUGUCUCUCUGGUAACUGAUAAUGUUUAAUCGUUUUGACAACUCUUAAUAGUGAGAAACAGUUAAAAAAUCAUAAUUAUAUUGCUAGAUUACUUUUCACUUAAUUAGUUUGGAUUCUUUGACAAACUGUUAAUGUUAACGAAAAACGCUUACAAAACCGAGUUUAAGUGUUUUUUCUUUUACUAUGAAAGAAGUUUGAGGAACUUAUUUGUAAAGACUUCUCCGAAUUGAUUAUAUAGAAAUUCAGUAAUUGACUAACUUUUAUGUAAUAUUUCAGCUGGUAGAAAUGUUAGAAAGCAGCAAAUCCUCACGGAUAGUUAUCACUGGACAUUCUUGGAGGUGCUGUGGCUACCCUUUUCACCUUAUGGCUGCUACAAAGCCUUGACUUGUUGAAAGCGAAACGCCUCCUUUGCAUCACUUUCGGUUCACCCUUGAUCGGUGACGAACAACUCCGACAAUGUGUGUUGGAAUUCUCAACAUGGAGUUCUUGCUUCUUGAAUGUAGCCUCCAUCAAUGAUCCUGUACCUAAAGUCUUCCUAACUUCGCAAGGGAGUGGUUAUAAGCCUUUCGGAACAUUCCUACUGUGCUCCUCUUCGGGUGGUUCUUGCAUUGAGGACGCUGAUGCCAUUUUGCAACUAUUGGUGGAAACCAGCUCUCAGUGUGUUCAAAAUCCAGUUCCGAAUUCAGGGACUCAGUUGUUUGAU
This 15724-nucleotide long non-coding RNA is filed under the name Malus domestica (apple). Its description in RNAcentral is "long non-coding RNA (MDOM_LNC007860)". The record is from RNAcentral. Lineage: Eukaryota; Viridiplantae; Streptophyta; Magnoliopsida; Rosales; Rosaceae.